GAUGAACGCUGGCGGCGUGCCUAAUACAUGCAAGUCGAGCGAACGGACGAGAAGCUUGCUUCUCUGAUGUUAGCGGCGGACGGGUGAGUAACACGUGGAUAACCUACCUAUAAGACUGGGAUAACUUCGUGAAACCGGAGCUAAUACCGGAUGAUAUUUUGAACCGCAUGGUUCAAAAGUGAAAGACGGUCUUGCUGUCACUUAUAGAUGGAUCCGCGCUGCAUUAGCUAGUUGGUAAGGUAAUGGCUUACCAAGGCAACGAUGCAUAGCCGACCUGAGAGGGUGAUCGGCCAAACUGGAACUGAGACACGGUCCAAACUCCUAAGGGAGGCAGCAGUAGGGAAUCUUCCGCAAUGGGCGAAAGCCUGACGGAGCAACGCCGCGUGAGUGAUGAAGGUCUUCGGAUCGUAAAACUCUGUUAUUAGGGAAGAAAAUAUGUGUAAGUAACUGUGCACAGCUUGACGGUACCUAAUCAGAAAGCCACGGCUAACUACGUG
This 497-nucleotide ribosomal RNA is filed under the name uncultured bacterium. Its description in RNAcentral is "partial 16S ribosomal RNA". It matches the Rfam family "Bacterial small subunit ribosomal RNA", at positions 28 to 507 of the family's 1533-position model. The record is from RNAcentral.